Molecule: ribosomal RNA, 773 nt
Filed under: uncultured Neocallimastigales
Lineage: Eukaryota; Fungi; Neocallimastigomycota; Neocallimastigomycetes; Neocallimastigales
Description: partial large subunit ribosomal RNA
Rfam family: Eukaryotic large subunit ribosomal RNA
Source: RNAcentral
AGAGAGAGACAUGCGUGCAUAUCAAUAAGCGGAGGAAAAGAAACUAACUAGGAUUCCCCUAGUAACGGCGAGUGAAGCGGGAAGAGCUCAAAUUUGAAAUCUUAAAGGUUCUACCUUGACGAAUUGUAGUUUAAAGAAGUGUUUUCUGUUGGAGUUUUGGUAAAAGUUCUUUGGAAUAGGACAUCAUAGAGGGUGAGAAUCCCGUAUUUGACCAUUACUUUCAGCUUUGUGAUACACUUUCAAAGAGUCGGAUUGUUUGGGAAUGCAGUCCAAAAUGGGUGGUAAAUUUCAUCUAAAGCUAAAUAUUGGCGAGAGACCGAUAGCGAACAAGUACCGUGAGGGAAAGAUGAAAAGAACUUUGAAAAGAGAGUUAAACAGUACGUGAAAUUGUCAAAAGGGAAGCGUUUGACACCAGUGUUGUUUUUCUGAAAAUCAAUUAAAGAACUGUUUAUGCUAAGUUGUUUAGACUUUAUCAGCUAACUGUUUAGUUUUGAGCUUUUCUUUAAUGCACUUUUCAGUUAACAAGUCAACAUCAAUUUCUUUUGCUGUAAAAAAGCUUGAGGAAGGUGGCUUGAGAUUCGUCUUAAGUGUUUAUAGCCUCUUGCCUAUGCAGUCGGAGAGAUUGAGGUCUGCAGCGUAGAUCCUUCGGGGCUAAUGCAUUUGUGCUAAGUUAUAGCAUUUUAUAGACAACUUGUUGACUAUGAUUUGUCUUGUAGCUUACUCGCUUAUGUUAUUUUACCUACGCUUAGGAUGUUGAGCGCAUGUCUCUCUCU